Molecule: long non-coding RNA, 659 nt
Organism: Scylla paramamosain (green mud crab)
Lineage: Eukaryota; Metazoa; Arthropoda; Malacostraca; Decapoda; Portunidae
Exons: 2
Source: RefSeq, a predicted model, not a curated record
GUAAGGCAGGCAGACAGACAGACAGACAGGCGGUCAUGUUAAGUUAAGGAUUCUCUUGUCAUGAUUGCUUAGUAAAGAUUCCAUAUGCCUUCAUAUAUGUUUUUCACUUUAGGUUUAAGGUACUGGCUAACUCUUGCACUAGUGAGGUGGACAGCAGAGUGUACUGGUGGAGCAAGUAGGGAAGGUACUGGCUAACUCUUGCACUAGUGAGGUGGACAGCAGAGUGUACUGGUGGAGCAAGUAGGGAAGGUACUGGUUAACUCUUGCACUUAGUGAGGUGGACAGCAGAGUGUACUGGUGGAGCAAGUAGGGAAGGUACUGGCUAACUCUUGCACUAGUGAGGUGGACAGCAGAGUGUACUGGUGGAGCAAGUAGGGAAGUUACUGGUUAACCAAACUUAAUAUCCUUUAAAAAUUUGGUGUGUUAAAAAAAAACUACAAAAAUGUCAUUAAUUUUAGCACCUCUGAUUACACAUAAAUAAGAACACAUCAUUAUGAACACUUCUCCCAAUGGCAUUUUGUAAUUAAUGAGAUUAAAACACAUUACUUUUUUUUCUAUGUAGGAGUGACACUGGCCAAGGGCAACAAAAAUCCAAUAAAAAAAAUGCCCACUGAAAUGUCAGUCCCAUAAAAGGGUAAAAGCAGUGGUCAAAAAUUGAA